AGUGGCGGACGGGUGAGUAACGCGUGAGAAUCUGCCUUCAGGUCGGGGACAACAGAGGGAAACUUCUGCUAAUCCCGGAUGAGCCUUAGGGUAAAAAAUUUAUUGCCUGGAGAUGAGCUCGCGUCUGAUUAGCUAGUUGGUAAGGUAAAAGCUUACCAAGGCAACGAUCAGUAGCUGGUCUGAGAGGAUGAGCAGCCACACUGGGACUGAGACACGGCCCAGACUCCUACGGGAGGCAGCAGUGGGGAAUUUUCCGCAAUGGGCGAAAGCCUGACGGAGCAAGACCGCGUGGGGGAGGAAGGCUCUAGGGUUGUAAACCCCUUUUCUUUGGGAAGAACAAAAUGACGGUACCAAAGGAAUCAGCCUCGGCUAACUCCGUGCCAGCAGCCGCGGUAAUACGGAGGAGGCAAGCGUUAUCCGGAAUGAUUGGGCGUAAAGCGUCCGCAGGUGGCAAUGUAAGUCUGCUGUCAAAACCCAGGGCUCAACUCUGGUCAGGCAGUGGAAACUACAUAGCUAGAGUUCGGUAGGGGCAAAGGGAAUUCCCGGUGUAGCGGUGAAAUGCGUAGAGAUCGGGAAGAACAUCGGUGGCGAAAGCGCUUUGCUAGACCGAAACUGACACUCAGGGACGAAAGCUAGGGGAGCGAAUGGGAUUAGAUACCCC
RNAcentral lists this ribosomal RNA (661 nucleotides) under uncultured bacterium. RNAcentral describes it as "bacterial SSU rRNA". It matches the Rfam family "Bacterial small subunit ribosomal RNA", at positions 94 to 788 of the family's 1533-position model. The record is from RNAcentral.